Lactuca sativa (garden lettuce) is the source of this 3182-nucleotide long non-coding RNA. RefSeq lists it as uncharacterized. Lineage: Eukaryota; Viridiplantae; Streptophyta; Magnoliopsida; Asterales; Asteraceae. The record is from RefSeq and is a predicted model, not a curated record.
GACUUUUUGCAAUUUUUUCUAAAUGGACUUUUGGCUUUCAAAAAGGUUAGCCAAACACCCACCCUCGCCAUCAAACACCCACCGUCGCCAUCUGUAUCACAACACAACCGUCACACCACUAUUACACUGCUAUCACACCGCUAUCACUUGACACUCAACCAUAUGCGUUCUCCUCUUUCCCCCCUCAAUCGGAGACCACCAAAAUCUAUUACCCAUACCCCACUCCAUCUUUGUCACCUGGGCACCCUCCCUGACCAUCAGUGCAAUGAGAAACCCUAGCCACCACAAUUUUCAAACUCAUUAAUCGGAGACCACCACAAACUCAUUCAUCUCUCUCGCUAUAAUCUCCGUAAAUAAGCGUAGCUUAGAGCUCUCAGAGCCCCCUGUUCCUUGACUAUGAAUUUUUUGAGUCAGUGAUAGUGCCCCUCCACCCCUCUCUAUAAAAAAAGCCCAAAGAGCCACAACCACAAUCAAUCCCAACCAUCUCUAGGUUUUAUGAAGAUCCCCAAUAGCCAUUAUCUUCAACACCACCAAAUCCUUCAUCAGCCGCCAUUUUCAACACACAUACCUGUAGUUCCCCUCAUCAUCACCACCACACCAUUUCUCAGGUUUACACCACCAUUAUCUCUGUUUCCCCUCUUUUUAUUCUUCGCCAAUUUAUAAAAUUAAUCAUACAGGUGCGUAUUUAUUUGAUUAUGGCUUAAAGUUUUACUUUUUUUAGGAUACAUUGGCAUACAUGUUUAUAAAAAUCAUUACUUUUACUUUCAAAAUGUUAAAAUUACUGAAUAUGGGAAGUCAAUAUGAAGCUUAACAAGAUAUAGAUAAGAAAGAUAAGGAUUUGGAACAUAUAAAGGUAUUUGUAUAUGUUUCUGAUAUCAUGAUGUUAAAAAAUUGGAUUUUAUUCAAACUAUUAUGGAUGUUUGGUUGACCUUUUUAUUAAAAUAUAGCUUAUGCUUUUAAUAGAUGAUUAUUUUCUAUUUAUCAUUAGUUAUAUCACACAAUCUUUCUUAUGUAUGAUUGAUGAAGAUCUGUUGCUCCUCUUCAAGGUAACAAUCUUGACCUAAUUCUCUUUGAAUUCGGUUUAAAUGAACUGUCUGUGUACUUUGAUUGUACAACAUUAUUAACAUAGAUCUGCCAACAAUAUCUGCAAUUUGUUCUAAUUUUCAGGUGCGUCUAUUUAGUUCAUUCCAGGUGUUCAUCUCCAAUGUAUAUGUAUGGUUUUUGUUCAGCUAACAACAAAACAUUGGCCUUUAUGUAGAUUUUCAAAUAUGCCGUUAAACUUGGUGCACGUCGCUCGUAGUUCACGCCAUUUUCCGUUGACCGCGUCGUACGUUCGACCCGUUUGCCUUCCCAAAAGCGAGUGAAAAUGAUCUAAAACACGAACCCAAAAACUUGUUCCCGUUUGCGCGUUGCCCGUCCUUGAGUCACACGAUAUAGAAAUCCAAGCUUUAGCUAAAGCUUCCUCCUCCUCUUCGAUCCAAGUUGUUCCUCUUCUAUUUGUAGCUUUUCCUUUUGAUUUCCUAUGCCUAGAUGGUUGUGUCUCUUCGACCCGGUCGUCCUCGUCGUUGUCCAAGUUUAUAGUUGGGGAUUAAGAACAAGGGACUUGAGAUGGUGGUGUUUGGAAUUGUUGAGAUGGUUGUGUUUGGAAUUAUUGAGAUGGUGGUGUUUGGAGUUGUUGAGAUGGUUGUGUUUGGAAUUGUUGGGGUCGAAAUUGUUGAAAACCUUGGAAUUGAGAUUGUGGUAAUUGUUGUUGGAAGUAGUUUGGUUGAAAUGGAAUGUUGGUAAAUAGAGGUUGAUGUUGGAUUGGGGAUGUUAGCAUUUGAAUGUAAUCUUGAUAUUGAUCAUUUGGAGUGGUUGGGGUUGUUGGGGUGUUUGGAGUGGUAGAUGUAUUUUGAUUUUGCUCCAUAUUUUUGAGAGAAAAUGAGAUAGUGGAGAGAUAUUAUUUGUAGAGAAAGAUGUGUUUAGUUUGUUUAUGUGUUUGUGUAUAUAUAGUAGAUGAAAUAAAUUGAAAAGUUUUUUUUUUUGUUAAUAAAAAGCAACGGUCAAAAAAUGAAAGGAAAAAACGGUAAAAAAAAAUCACCCAAUCAAAGCAUGAACGACCGUAAGAGAAUCCAAUCCGCGUCACAUUCACCGGUGGGGGCGGUGUUCACGCGUGAAUACCCCCUACACGUCAUCAUUACGCGUGAAAAACCAAUCCACACCCCAUGGCCUAACCAUCCCCUUCUCUCAACCAUGUCUCCUUCUCUCUAACUCCAAUUAGCCAUCAGACCACUCACCACCAGUUCGACCACUCUCCACCAGUUCCAUGACCUCACUCCGCAUAUACCUCACACUACUCAAGACCCACCAUUAAACCCAACUGAAACCUAAUAUUCGUCUCUCUCUGGCAUUCACGACAACAAUUCGGCUUUUUUUUUUUUAUUUGCAUCUGGACACAUUUUACGUACCGGUGUUGUGCAGGAACACUAAUAAAAACCACCAUUAAUAUCUCCUCUAUCGGCAACCCAUCCACCCUGGAGUUCGAUACCACCAAAUGCCACAAGUUUAUCUUUGUUCUUUAUCUCUAGGGUUUUAAAAGAGGUGUUCAGAUCUGGAUGAAGAUGAACAAAAAGAUGAACCAUUUAGAGCCUAAAGGGUUCUCUGGUUCAGUUGUUCAUAAAACGUAUCUAAUAUAUGAUGUUUCAAUUACAUAAUCGUGUUGAGAGGUGAGAUGGGGCUUUUCAGUGGGAGUGACGAUAAGGAUUCUUGGUUGAGGCUGGAGGAGAAAUACAGAGAGGCGAAGAUCGUUUGUAAUACAACUUCCAAUGUGGUGAUCAGGUGUAUUUGACUGAUUAUAGGUUGACCCUUGUGACUGAAGGUGUGCACCUUCACUGCAUUUAAACAUCGUUUCAUCAUAUGGGUCGACACAAGGUUUUUGAGCAUCUGAGUUCAAAUGGAUUGGACUCAAGUUGAUGAGGUUGCCCAAGUUUCAAAAAAUCUGGUGCUUAUUUGCUAAAGUUUGAUCAACCUCUUCUUAAAUUACAUUGCUACACAUGGUUUGGACUCUAAAGUACAAUGUUAUUUCUGUCUAUAUGUUUUGAUCAUGUGGUUUUUUGUUUAUUUUUGUUUCUUUAUGUAAGACUUUGGCUUCGUCAAACACUUUUUUGCAUUUUUUUAAUUAUUGUUCCCAGCUUAUGAUUGCA